This 61-nucleotide transfer RNA is filed under the name Ictidomys tridecemlineatus (thirteen-lined ground squirrel). RNAcentral's name for it is "Spermophilus tridecemlineatus (thirteen-lined ground squirrel) tRNA". It matches the Rfam family "tRNA", at positions 6 to 65 of the family's 71-position model. Rfam says of the family: Transfer RNA (tRNA) molecules are approximately 80 nucleotides in length. Their secondary structure includes four short double-helical elements and three loops (D, anti-codon, and T loops). The record is from Rfam by way of RNAcentral. Lineage: Eukaryota; Metazoa; Chordata; Mammalia; Rodentia; Sciuridae.
UGUGGCUCAGAGGCAGAGCGCUUGCCUAGCAUGCGUGAGGCACUGGGUUUGAUUCCCAGCA